RNAcentral lists this ribosomal RNA (798 nucleotides) under Kosakonia cowanii. Its description in RNAcentral is "bacterial SSU rRNA". It matches the Rfam family "Bacterial small subunit ribosomal RNA", at positions 30 to 804 of the family's 1533-position model. The record is from RNAcentral. Lineage: Bacteria; Pseudomonadati; Pseudomonadota; Gammaproteobacteria; Enterobacterales; Enterobacteriaceae.
CGGGGGCCAGCGGAAGUCUUACAAAUGCAGUCGAGCGGUUACAGUGUAAGCAGCUUUGGCCUUCGCUUUGCUGUACGAGUGGCGGACGGGUGAGUAAUGUCUGGGAAACUGCCUGAUGACUGGGGAUAACUACUGAAAACGGUACCUAAUACCGCAAAACGUCUCAACACCAAGGAGGGGGACCUUCGGGCCUCUUGCCCUGUCAUGUGCCCAUAUGGGAUUAGCUAGUUAGUGGGGUAACGGCUCACCUAGGCAACAAUGCCUAGCUGGUCUGACAAGAUGACCGGCCACUCUGGAACUGAGACACGGUCCAGACUCCUACGGGAGGCAGCAGUGGGGAAUAUUGCACAAUGGGCGCAUGCCUGAUGCUCCCAUGCCGCGUGUAUGAAGAAGGCCUUCGGGUUGUAAAGUACUUUCACUCUGGAGGAAGGCGAUGUGGUUAAUAACCGCGUCAAUCGACGUUCCCCGCAGAACAAGCACCGGCUAACUCCGUGCCCUCCGCCGCGGUAAUACGGAGGGUGCAAGCGUUAAUCGGAAUUACUGGGCUUAUAGCGCACGCAGGCGGUCUGUCAGGUCGGAUGUGAAAUCCCCGGGCUCAACCUGGGAACUGCAUCCGAAACUGGCAGGCUUGAGUCUCUUGAGGGGGGUAGAAUUCCAGGUGUUCCGGUGAAAUGCGUAGAGAUCUGGAAGAAUACCGGUGGCGAAAGCGGCCCCCUGGACUAUCACUGACUGCUCAUGUGCCAAAGCGCUGGGGGAGCGUGCAGGAUUAGAUAGUUUGGUUUAUCUAAAUGUGCCACA